This 303-nucleotide ribosomal RNA is filed under the name uncultured bacterium. Its description in RNAcentral is "partial 16S ribosomal RNA". It matches the Rfam family "Bacterial small subunit ribosomal RNA", at positions 507 to 807 of the family's 1533-position model. The record is from RNAcentral.
AGCAGCCGCCGCGGGAAUACGGAGGGUGCGAGCGUUAAUCGGAAUAACUGGGCGUAAAGGGCACGCAGGCGGUUAUUUAAGUGAGGUGUGAAAGCCCCGGGCUUAACCUGGGAAUUGCAUUUCAGACUGGGUAACUAGAGUACUUUAGGGAGGGGUAGAAUUCCACGUGUAGCGGUGAAAUGCGUAGAGAUGUGGAGGAAUACCGAAGGCGAAGGCAGCCCCUUGGGAAUGUACUGACGCUCAUGUGCGAAAGCGUGGGGAGCAAACAGGAUUAGAUACCCGCGUAGUCCCUGUCUCUUAUAC